Molecule: non-coding RNA, 1212 nt
Organism: Struthio camelus australis
Lineage: Eukaryota; Metazoa; Chordata; Aves; Struthioniformes; Struthionidae
Source: RefSeq, a predicted model, not a curated record
UGUUCCAGUUGAUAGGAGCGUGGAAGAAGAGAGGGAGGAAACGACUUAAUUGCUUUAGACUUUAGUUCAGCUGGAGUUGGGAGGAAAGAAUCGGUGUCUCUUUUUUGGAAUACAGCAAGCUCUUGCUGAGGACAGAUCCUCUGCAGAUUUUGUGGAGGAUCUGGCUUGGAAAGAGGAGUCUCAGUCUGAGCUCAGCGCAUGUAACGGACAUGGCAUGAGCUGAGGGAGCCUGUGGGGGCAAGAGAAAUGUUCUUCUCCAGUCAUCUGAUUUCUGUCAACAAAGUUAUAUUUCUGGAGAAGUCAGCGUGCCACAAGUCUAUAGAGACCAAUAUUAACCUUGAUUGACUGGGUACUCUUGGAAUGGUGUUGGUAGUGUUGCAGCAGGCUGUUUUUGACCCAUGUAUAAAAGAAGUUUUUUCUUUUUUUUGUUUUGUUGGUCAGUAUCUAUAAAGAAUAAACUGAUGGGCAAAAUAUUUCGUCAGAUACUUGAUAAUCAUACUUCUUGAGAUUAUUUGCUGAGACUAUUUUCUGUAAGAUUUCUGAAAUGCUUUCUGAGAUUAGGUCACCAAAUACUGAGGAUUUUACUGAUCCACUGUUGGCAUAUUAUAUGGCCAAUUUUGAUCUCACUGUUAAUAUCUAGCUGCCAUAUAAGGCAGACCACCUAAUCUCUGGAAUGUUUUAUAAAGGAGAUUAAUUUCAUUAUGUUCAGCUUUUACAGGCUGGAAACUGUGGGAUAGUGGAGCAGGGGGGAGGGAUCUCAAGCAAACAACGUGAAACGCUUAAAAUCACCCAGCGUGCUGGUAGCAAAGUCCAGAGCUGAAGCAACCCCGCUCAUGUGUCAGGCCAGUGCUCUGUCCCAUCGUGUACCUCCUCCCAUUUCUUCAAGCCAGCAUUUAAAGAAAUUAUUUAAAACUUUCAUGACUGUGACUGAGAGCAGGAUCUGCCCAAUGCUUCCCACGCGCUCAGCGUCUGUGAGAGCCCCAGAGAGAGGGAGUCUCAGUCAGUGCAAAGCUCCAUCAUGGGCAUAAACGGAGCCGUGCCAGCUCGGAUGGCUGCCGGCCUGGCUCUGAGACAUUCUCGUUUCUGAGGCGAAGCAGCAGCCUGGAUUGGCAGAGGAGAAUGAGCGUUUAUUUCAUAUUCAGGUCAAGAAUCCAUUGUGGUUUGUGACCUUAAAAGAUCAGCCUAAAUAAGAACUUCUGAGGACUUGCUCCG